RNAcentral lists this ribosomal RNA (432 nucleotides) under Triticum aestivum (bread wheat). Its description in RNAcentral is "partial small subunit ribosomal RNA". Lineage: Eukaryota; Viridiplantae; Streptophyta; Magnoliopsida; Poales; Poaceae. The record is from RNAcentral.
UUGUUCGAGGACGAGCUUGCCAACCAAGCCGCUGGGGUGAAGCCGAAGCGCAAGAGCAAGCGGACCAAAGCAUACACGGCGGCCGAGGACAUGCUUCUUUGCAAGUGUUGGAGAGACAUUGGGCAAGACCCCAAGACGGGCGCUGAACAAAAACAUUCAACUUUUUGGAUUCGUGUCCACCAUGAGUUCCAUGAGCGCAAGAAGUUCCCGCCGUACCAAAUAGUAAGCACGCGCGGGUGGGUGUCCAUUUCGAAGCGAUGGAGGGUGAUCCAACAAGAGUGCAACAAGUUUUGUGCCACUCGUGAGAGCGUCAAGGCCCGUUGUGUGAGCGGCAUCGACAUGCAAGACAUGGCAUUUCAAGCUUUGGAGGCAUUCAAGGUCCAACACAAUGGCAAGUGCUUCAACCUCUCCCAUUGCUUUAGCGUGAUCAAA